CGGCUCCAAUUAGAUGUCAUGGACGGCACUGCCCAUACUGUUCGUUAUGUGCUUUGUCGAGACUAUGGAAAAACUGGCGAAGACCAGUGCAACUGUGCAAGUGCAUUGCUUAAUGGGAAGGCGGGUUUUGUAUUCUGUACUCAUUACAUUAACAACCUGCACCAUGUGUAAGAGGAUACACUUGAUGACUUAGCUCUGCCGCUGUGCAUAUCAGGACUGGUAGCUACAACACCCCACCCUUGAGCUGAGAUCUAGCACAUAUUAUCAGUAUGAGGAGUAUGAAAGCUAGACAAAAGUUAACUUUUUUACUAUAGAACUUUAGUUCUCCUGCGGAAAAAAUAAGAGUGGAAAAGCACCAUUGUUUCUAAAGCGAAAUGAAUCUGAAAUCCAACACUAUAUUUUAAGUCUACUCCACGGCUCCCUGAAGAAAAUAUUAUAAAAGUAUCGAAGGAAAAGCUACCUAAAAGGCACUCUGGCAAUCCUCGAGGUGUGUCAUCAGUAGCGAUCAGUACAAAAUCAAAUGCAGGGGGUACCCUCCCGAAAAAAGCAUCCACCUUCUGAUCUUGAGUCUUUCAGAAGAAGAAGAAAAUAAAAGAUCACAUUUAGACUUUAUUGACCAUUAUGUUAUUGUCACUAAUCAUGCUAUAUCAUAUGUCCUUUGGCAUAUAACACAUAGUACUAAUAUCACAUUAACAUUUGUCAAAAAAUUUCCAGACAUCUAUACAAGGACAUUGACAGGGGAUAUGGUAAUGUGAUAGCACGAUUCUCGAGUCCUUGACAUUGAUGCGUUAUACUAUCCUUUCUUUUACCGCCAUUUUCAAGGGAACCGGAAAAAAGCAAGAUACUGCCAUCACCCGUGCUAGCACAUUACAAAGUGAUGAGGUAUGUCUUUCUGUACUCUAAACUUUAAUAGAGGAGAUAGUAUAUAUGGAUCGGUUGGGUAAAAGCGAAUUAUGGUCAAAAUGCUAAAGGUAAUAGCUUUUUGUUUGGGUUGCGAUCGCGUUGGUUGACCCAUAAAGGUUUUAUUAAAAUUCAUAUUUAGAUAAACCUUUCAGAUUGAAACUUCAUAACCCAAGCUAAUGCCUUAUUGGGGUUUAAAGGGAUCAUAUUUAAUUCCAAAGUUUCAGUUUCAUUAUCCAAUCAAUGGAGUUAUAUUUGGCAUUUGAGUGAUUCUGAUGAUGACGAUGAUUAUUAGUAGUCAAACAGAAAGGAUGUUUACAUUUGAUUUAUUAAUAUUUAUUAGUGUGUAUAAUGCCAUAAGAUAUCUUUAUAAGCUGACCCAGAUUUGCAGAUAAAUUAGAACGUGCAGAUAGUUAAGGAGAUGACAGAGAUAAAAAACAAGCUGCCUUAAGUAAUGCUCCUAACUAGAUCAUGAACACAAACUAAUUUACUUGCAAGGAUUUGGUGAUGGUGAAGCAUAUCAACUUCUGAACAACCAUGAGUAUUAUGUAAUAUUGACCAUUUUGACCCAUUUACUUAUGAAAGGGUUAUUCCCGUUUGUGGUUUCUAUCUCUUUAACAAGUGAAGUUAAAAGCUUUCGCGUAAAUGGAUAU
This is a long non-coding RNA of Erigeron canadensis, 1553 nucleotides long. RefSeq lists it as uncharacterized. The transcript is spliced from 3 exons. Lineage: Eukaryota; Viridiplantae; Streptophyta; Magnoliopsida; Asterales; Asteraceae. The record is from RefSeq and is a predicted model, not a curated record.